UACAUAGCUUAAUGAGGGGAACUCAGGGAACUGAAACAUCUAAGUACCUGAAGGAAGAGAAAGAAAUUCGAUUCCGUAAGUAGCGGCGAGCGAACGCGGAUUAGCCCAAACCAAUAAAGUUUUCUUUAUUGGGGUUGCGGACAUAUCAUAACGAAGAGGUAUCGUAAUUGAAGAGGUUUGGAAAGACCCACCACAGAAGGUAAUAGUCCUGUAUGUUAAACGAGAAGACUUUAGAUAUGAUCCAGAGUACCACGGGACACGUGAAACCCUGUGGGAAGCAGGAGGGACCACCCUCCAAGGCUAAAUACUACCUAGUGACCGAUAGCGUAUAGUACCGUGAGGGAAAGGUGAAAAGAACCCCGGGAGGGGAGUGAAAUAGAACCUGAAACCCUGCACUUACAAGCUGUGGAAGCACAUUUCUUGUGUGACCGCGUACUUUUUGUAGAACGGGCCAACGAGUUACGUUAAGUAGCAAGGUUAAGCACUUAAGGUGCGGAGCCGUAGCGAAAGCGAGUUUUAACUGAGCGUUCAGUUACUUGACGUAGACCCGAAACCGGGCGACCUACCCAUGAGCAGGAUGAAGCGAAAGUAAAAUUUCGUGGAGGUCCGAACCCACGAGCGUUGAAAAGCUCGGGGAUGACUUGUGGGUAGCGGUGAAAUUCCAAUCGAGCCCGGAGAUAGCUGGUUCUCCCCGAAAUAGCUUUAGGGCUAGCCUCAAGGUGAGAGAUACGGAGGUAGAGGAC
This 743-nucleotide ribosomal RNA is filed under the name Clostridioides difficile. RNAcentral's name for it is "bacterial LSU rRNA". It matches the Rfam family "Bacterial large subunit ribosomal RNA", at positions 163 to 910 of the family's 2925-position model. Lineage: Bacteria; Bacillati; Bacillota; Clostridia; Peptostreptococcales; Peptostreptococcaceae. The record is from RNAcentral.